Molecule: ribosomal RNA, 261 nt
Filed under: uncultured archaeon
Lineage: Archaea
Description: partial 16S ribosomal RNA
Rfam family: Archaeal small subunit ribosomal RNA
Source: RNAcentral
UAGCCGUAAACGAUACUCGCUAGGUGUCGGCCACGGUGCGACCGUUGUCGGUGCCGUAGGGAAGCCGUGAAGCGAGCCACCUGGGAAGUACGGCCGCAAGGCUGAAACUUAAAGGAAUUGGCGGGGGAGCACAACAACGGGUGGAGCUUGCGGUUUAAUUGGAUUCAACGCCGGAAAUCUUACCGGGACCGACAGCAACAUGAAGGCCAGGCUGAAGACUUUGCCGGAUUAGCUGAGAGGUGGUGCAUGGCGUAGUCGUGU